Molecule: unclassified non-coding RNA, 1727 nt
Filed under: Megachile rotundata (alfalfa leafcutting bee)
Lineage: Eukaryota; Metazoa; Arthropoda; Insecta; Hymenoptera; Megachilidae
Description: chitobiosyldiphosphodolichol beta- mannosyltransferase, transcript variant X2
Source: RNAcentral
AUAUUCUGUUAUUAUGCGCAAAAAAAAUCAUACAACUUUCCUAUUAAAAGUAUCUCGUAUGGUUUUCAAGAUAACCAAAGCGAGUCAAAACUCUAAGGGGUCAUUUGACUCCUUAAACCCGCGUCUUAGCCGAAAUAAAAGAAAUACGUGUCCCUUAUUUUUGCCUGCUUAGCAAACGUACGAACUUUACGUACAUACAGAGGGGGAUACUUCCGUGCCUUUUCUUGUUAGCUUUGGCCACAGUAUAAUAUACUGUGCUUUGACUAUAUGUAGUCUGUAUAGCUCAAUUACCCAAUAUAUAUAAUUUAACAUGUGGAGAAUUUGUGUAGUUUGUAUAAUUUUGUUGAUCUUGCACGUAAUUAGAAAAAUUUGUUUAAAAUUAUGUAAAAGACAUAAAAACGUUUGCGUUCUUGUUCUUGGAGAUUUAGGUAGAAGUCCUAGAAUGCAAUAUCAUGUAACAUCACUUGUAAAGGAAGGUUUUGCGGUAGACUUUAUAGGUUAUCCUGGUUCACUGCCGUUAAAAGAAAUUAGAGAAAAUCCUCUAAUACGUAUUUAUUAUCUUUCUCCACCUCUAAAUAUAGAGAACAAAUUGUCACUUUUUGUAUGUUAUGUGGUAAAAACUUUGUGGCAAACCUUUAAUUUAAUAUGGACUUUAUUGCACAUACGCAUACCAACUCACAUGUUGAUACAAAAUCCGCCUGCAAUACCUACAAUUCCAAUUUGUUGGUUGUAUUGUUUCAUUAUAAAUUCACAACUUAUUAUUGAUUGGCAUAAUUAUGCAUUUACUCUUAUGGGACUUAGCCUAAGAAAUGAUCAUUUGUUUGUAAAAUUUGCAAGAAUUAUUGAAACAUACUUUGGUUUUAAAGCACAUAGUCAUAUUUGUGUUUCUGAAGCAAUGAGGAAUGACUUGCAAUUAAAGUGGAAAAUCAAAGCUGAAGUAUUAUAUGAUCGCCCAACAGACAAAUUUCAUCCUAUAUCAUUAGAGGAGAAACACAUGUUCUUAUUAAAAUUGAGUGAAAAGCAUAAUAUAUUAAAAGGUAAAAAGGAAAAUACAACUAUAUUUACAGAAUUUGUAGACAAUGAGAUACGGUUAUCUUCUAAAAGACCUGGUCUUAUCGUAUCAAGCACAAGUUGGACAGAAGAUGAAGAUUUUUCAAUAUUGUUAAAUGCAUUACAAGAAUAUGAAAAUAUGAUUGUACAAUGUACUUGUAAUUUACCUGAUUUAAUUUGUAUAAUAACUGGUAAAGGUCCGUUAAAAGAAUUUUAUAAAGCUAUAGUAAAAUUAAAAAAUUGGAAACAUGUUACAAUUCUUACACCGUGGCUAGAAAACGAAGAUUAUCCUAAGAUACUAGCUAGUGCUGAUUUAGGUAUUUGUCUUCACAUAUCAUCCAGUGGUUUGGAUUUACCAAUGAAAGUUGUUGAUAUGUUUGGAUGUGAACUUCCAGUGUUCUCAUAUAAUUUUAAAUGAAAUAUUCACAUCGCUAUAACUCUAUUGAGAAGUAACGCAAUGAAAAUCUGAAAGAUGCUUACAGAAAAUAGAGCUUUCGUGCUUUCAAAGGAUUAUUCAGAGACAGUGAUGUUGCUAUUUUUGCUGAAUUUAGGACCAUUUGUACUUAGAUACAUUUUUCAUGCUCAUAGAGCUUAUCAGAACUUGUUAAACAUGGGCAGAACGGAAUGACUUUUUCAAGUGAUAAAGAAUUAACAGCACAAUUAAAAAUGUGGUUUGA